UACAGCGGGUGAGUCAUACAGCAGGGGAGUGAUGUGUUUGCUGCCCUUCCAGGCACUUGCCCCUGCUCUCCCCCCCCCCAUCCUGUACCCAGCGCCCAUCACCGGGUCUCCCAGACUCUACCCACCUAGAAGGACUGACAGAUGAGAAGGACACCCCACCAUUCUUGAUCUCCAAGGUCCCCAGCCACCUCCUCCUCAGGACCUCAGCCAGUGAGAACUGGAUCCUAAAGCUCUUCUGUCUGCUCUCUGGAUGCUGCUGUGGUUUCUCUCCCAGAAGCACCUUUCUGAGCCCUCUGCAGCUCAUCCAUGCGGCCGCUGGGGGCUUUGAAGCAGAGAGCAAGCCUCAAAGGUGGAUCACAUUAAUACUCCCUUUGGAAGAGGUUUCCACGUGCACUGCGGUUUCAGAAGAUAAGGCCCCACAAGCACACGUGGUGAAUCAGCCCCUCUGCUCUGGCCCGAGUGGAAUUCAACCAAGUGGGAACCCACAGAAUUUCCCACGGCCUUCUGGGACCUGGAAGAGCCCAAGGGCGUCACCCGUGGGUGUCAGGGACCCAGGAACCGCCACCACAGGCUGUCAUUUCCUUCGUCCUCUGGCUCAGUCCUGCUGAAACUAUAUAAGGCCCCUGGAAGGGCUGGCAGGUGGGGAGGGGGAGGGUGACCUGCGAGGGGGCCACUGUGUGACCCCUGGAGUGGCUGGGCCAGGCUCAGACAGUGUGGCCUCAUGGGCAAGAGCAGGGGUCUUUUUUUUUUUUAGGGCCACACCCACAGCAUUUGGAAGUUCCCAGGCUAGAGGUCAAAUCGGAGCUGCAGACACCAGCCUACACCACAGCCAUGGCAACAGCGCAUCUGAGCUGCAUCUGUGAACUACGCCACAGUUUGUGGCAAUGCUUAACCCACCGAUCAGGGCCAGGGAUCGAACCCACAUCCUCAUGGAUACUCGUCCGGUUCUUAACCCACUGAGUCACAAUGGAAACUCCAAGAGCAGGGGUCUUUGAAGACAGAGAGACUUGGAGCAAAUCUCAGCUCUGUGCUUCCUACUCUGGGACCUCAGGCUUCUUUCUCUGGAACUUGACUUUGCCGGGCAAUCAAUAGACAGGAGCAGCCAGCAGUAGGACUAGAGUCUGCAGGGGACCCCUCCCUGACCUCAGCCCCCCUCAGCCUUCCUCUCAGUAAACUGGCAAGCAAGGCAAUUCUCCUGCCUCUCAGCACCAGCCAGGCUGGGACACUGUGUGACAUAGGACAUUAAGCAAUCCUUCAGGUCAAAGAAUCCCCACAUAACAAAUUCAUUCUGUACAAUAAAGAACUUGGCUGCACCCCUGCUUGGGCGUUUGAGAUCCAAAUUGCUGCCUUGGCACUUCAGAGGCAGAGAAAGGAGAAAUGAGCCUGGGGCUCUGGGAACAGCCCUUUAAACCUGUUUGAAAAUUCAGAUCCAUCUGGCCGCCCCUCACCUGCCCUCCAGGUUAGAAAGAAGGGAAGGGACUCUGGGGGCUGCCUGCUGGGCACGCGAAACAGUGAGCCAGGAAGGGCAGGGAUGGGGAAAGGGGUGUGAUGGGGACACAGACAUGCUGGGGCCUCCCAAGCGAUGCCCCCUCUCCUGACCCCGGGAAGCUCUGGGGGCCGUAGGAGGGAAGAGCUCUCUUAUCCGUAUUAGAAUGAGCAGACCUGAAACUCACAGACACAGACCAAUGACCAGCCCGCACCCCUGCCGUUCGUACAGGGCCAGCUCUGCCUGACUUCCUGCUGCAUCGGCUUUGUAUGGACCCUUUCUUCCUCCCCAGGUUGGCCUUUGAUGCCUGCUCACUUGUUCAUUUAUUUAUGCAGCCCCCUUACACCAAGCAUCUCCUGGUUGCCAGUGAACAGGGAGGGAAGGCAGAGCUGAUUAAUGAAAUUCAAGUUCUAAACUCCAGCCAGAGCUCACGGAGCCAAUCCGCUGAAUCCCCUCAGAUGUAUUUAAAAAUGGAGUAUCACCAGGGUGCCAAAGAAGGUGACAAAAAUUGCCCAAGAGAGACAGGGAAGGCACAUCUGAGCUGGGUCUUGAUGGCUAAGUAGGAGUUCACCUCAGGAGGUAAAAGAAGAGGUAGAGGAGGGGGAGCAGACAGGGCAUUCUAAGCAGAGGAAGCAGCAUGUUCAGCGUGGAGGUGGGAAAGGCAGGGUGUUUGGGGGAAAAUAGCAAAAGACAGGAAUGGAUUUCACUUCCUUUGCAUAGAGAGGUACAAGGGGGUGUCUCCCAUCGGCUCCACACGCCAGGUGAGCUCUCCCCCAGGUGAGAGCUUCCUGGCCCUGCCCACCCAUCUCCCUCCUCACCUGUAUCAGUUAUCCACUGCUGGGUAACAAAUGACCCCCAAACAUAGCGGCUUAAAACAAUAAUAAACCUUGACAUCUAUGAUCUCUCCCAGUUUCCAUGGGUCAGGAAUCUGGGAGGAGGCUCGCUGUGGGUCUCUCAUGAGGUUGAGGUCAAGGUGUCAGCCAGGGCUGUGGGCACCUGAAGGCUGGAGCAGGGCUGGGGGCCCUACUCCCAAGACGAUUCCCUCCCAUGGGACUGGCUGUUGGCAGGAGGCCUCAGUUUGUCCCCACAUGGGCCUCCCCCCAUGGUGGUGGCUUCCCCAUGAGUGAGAACAAGGUAGGGAGUUCCCAUCGUGGCUCAGCAGGUUAUGAACCCAUCCUCAUAUCCGUGAGGAUAUGGGUUCGAUCCCUGGCCUUACUCAGUGGGUUAAGGAUCCGGCAUUGCAGGGAGCUGUGGUGUAGGUCACAGACGUAGCUCAGAUCUGGCAUGGCUGUGGCUGUGGUGUAGGCCAGCAGCUAUAGCUCCAAUUCGACCCCUAGCCUGGGA
This 2830-nucleotide long non-coding RNA is filed under the name Sus scrofa (pig). RNAcentral's name for it is "lncRNA (ENSSSCG00030034022.1)". The record is from RNAcentral. Lineage: Eukaryota; Metazoa; Chordata; Mammalia; Artiodactyla; Suidae.